This 497-nucleotide ribosomal RNA is filed under the name uncultured bacterium. RNAcentral's name for it is "partial 16S ribosomal RNA". It matches the Rfam family "Bacterial small subunit ribosomal RNA", at positions 28 to 507 of the family's 1533-position model. The record is from RNAcentral.
GAUGAACGCUGGCGGCGUGCCUAAUACAUGCAAGACGAGCGAACGGACGAGAAGCUUGCUUCUCUGAUGUUAGCGGCGGACGGGUGAGUAACACGUGGAUAACCUACCUAUAAGACUGGGAUAACUUCGGGAAACCGGAGCUAAUACCGGAUAAUAUUUUGAACCGCAUGGUUCAAAAGUGAAAGACGGUCUUGCUGUCACUUAUAGAUGGAUCCGCGCUGCAUUAGCUAGUUGGUAAGGUAACGGCUUACCAGGGCAACGAUGCAUAGCCGACCUGAGAGGGUGAUCGGCCACACUGGAACUGAGACACGGUCCAGACUCCUACGGGAGGCAGCAGUAGGGAAUCUUCCGCAAUGGGCGAAAGCCUGACGGAGCAACGCCGCGUGAGUGAUGAAGGUCUUCGGAUCGUAAAACUCUGUUAUUAGGGAAGAACAUCUGUGUAAGUAACUGUGCACAUCUUGACGGUACCUAAUCAGAAAGCCACGGCUAACUACGUG